GAAUACAGACGAGGCAUGUAAGAAAACGAUGUUUUAAGAAAUAUGUUUUAUGCUAUAUCAUUUCUUUUACUGAAAACAAUUGGACAAACAAACAAGAAAAGCCAAGGAAAAUGCGACCGGGACGUGGAAUCGGCCCGUCUGUGAGUGGAAGGAUCACACUCCCAGCUGAGAUAGAAAUAAAGCCACGCGUGCCUCUGUUUCUAUGCGUGGUAAAAUAAACAAGCAACACUUCGAGGAACUAUUGAUUCUGUUAUUAAAACACAGCCUGUUUGGUUUGCCAGAUCGUAGCCAUUAUUAAUGCAUUAUUAAUUCUAUGUAAGUGCCUGCUUGUCAGAUCCAUUAACCGGGGGAGUAAUUGCCGAGGGAGAGAGCUCAGAAGGUGUGUCACGCUGCUCGCUCGGUCUAGGUGGAACGAAGCGGAGGGAAGCCACGCGGAGCAAUGGAGGCAGCCCUGUAAGGCAGUGUCCGUUUCUGUCUGUGGCCAAAAUGGCCAGGGAUGUUUUUGGCCAAGCUGAUGAGACAGAGAUUGGAAGAGGAAAGUUUCAUACUGAUACUUCGGCUGGCUGGCUGCAGAGUAACCUGCAUUUUGGGCCAUUUUUGGUUAAAUGUAUGAAAGCAAACAUCCACAUAAAGGCUGAAAUGGUUUGUCAAUGACCCAGAGGCUGUUCCCGGGAUCUUUUGAGCCCUGGGAACCUGGAGGUACCUGCAGAGCUGAGCAGAUUGCUUCCGCAUCAAGGAAACAAGCGGGACUUGUGAGAAGGGGCGGUUUGUGAGGCCCCUGGCUGCAGGCACUGGAGGUCCUGCCACCCAGCGGCACAAGGCUGCCCUGCCUGCUUUAAGGAGGAGACAGGACUAUUGACUUGGUCCGAUUUGCCUGAACUUCUUGAGUUUCUCACUGCCCGUGGAUUCCAGUUGCUUUAACACGGGAAAUCGGACCUGCUGGAGGAGACCCUGCGCUGUCCUCAAAGACAACACUGUUUCCACUAACGCAAGGAUACAGCGUGAUUGAAACAGUGCCCCACCCAUAGGGUGGCUGGCAGAUUGAACGUGGUGCUCUGUGGAAAAAUGUGGUCUGGCCAUACCCAGUGCUAUGCACGUGUUUACCACCAUUGCCUCCCCUUCUCCCAUCUCAUGUUAUCGGUCUGUAAAGUGGGUGUCAUGAGUGACUUCUGGUAUCUGCUGAGGGGGGUGGUGUCUGGGUGAGGCCCGAGUAGUUGGAGGCUUUGGUUUUUGCAUAAUGGGACCCCUAUUUUCCACUUAACCCGAACCAAAGCGGAAUCAUGGAAGGCCUCAAUGCAGGCAGCCCUGAGGGCGCAAGAAAGUUUGCUUUGUUCAAAGGGCUCCUGGGAGCCGGGCGAUGGGUGACCACGCCAGGAAGCACCUUGACUUGGGUACUUUGCAGAAUCUUCCUCCCAGCGCACCUAGACUUGCCGCUGUGUGGCAGCUUUGACUCCCAGCCCAGUAACAAACACGUCCAUGACGCUGUGGACUGACAGAGACCGCAGAGCUGGUCAACGUGAGGAAUGGGGCCCGCGCCCCGGGGGACCUCCAAGGCUGGGGGCACGGGAGCAAGCGGGUUACUCAGGCCCACACUAACCGCACUUGUAACUUCUCUCCCUGAGUCAAGGCAAGUUUUCAUUCAAGCCAACGUAACACAAUCUUGCCAAUGACUGGAAAAAUAACUAGCUUUGCAAAAAUUUAAAAAGACUCAGAUAAUACUCAAAUUUGGAGCCCUAAUGAAGUGUGUAAACCUCAUGUCCACAGACUGUGUUACUGGAGCCAGAGGGGGAAGAUCCCUGAAUCAGCCCGCCUGGGGCCGCCCACGGCUGCUCCUUGCGUGGGAGGUGGCCCCAUGCGGCCGCUUCUCUGGGGGACAGAACAGAAACUGGGGCGAGUUUGGCCCAGCCGCAACAUCCAAGUCUGUGUUCAUUUAAAACUAACUGCCUUUGAUUGCAUUUGACAAAAACAUUGGUCCAUGAUUGACUGGAAAUAAAAUAAUGAGGGUUUGAGACCCGGGCUCCGACCUCCCUUCUGUUCUGGGCCCGUGUGAGGCCGGGGACGGCCCGGGCAGGUGUCAGCAGCAGGAGUGUUUUCCGGGGUCCCUGUGGAGAACGUCUCUCCGCAGCUUCUCCUGGAACGUUGUCUCCGAGGCUCAGCAGCCUCCUCACACCCCCUGGGUCCACACCUCAGACCCAUCUGCCCGCCCGGCCAGCCUGCCUCGUCGUUCCCCGCGGGCUCGUGCCUCAACAGGCAGCGUGUGGAUGCCACCGUCACCUUCACGGGAGAGGCAGGUCCGCCCUGGAGCUGAUCCCCUGAUGAGGAAAUGAAAACACAGAGAGGAGAAGGCACUCGCCUGAGGUACCCUGCCAGACGCUGGGGACGGGCUCACACGCAGCGGCCCAAAGCCUGCUGCCUCUCGGAGCAGCGGGGGUCUGGGACGGAUAUUGAGGCACAGGGCCUUGGACGUGCCCGUGGAGCUGCUCAGCCAGUGGGGAGUUAGCCAGCGUUUUACAGGCAAAGCUGCGGAGCUGUGCUGGUGCCUGUGUAGAGCGGUUGAAGAAGAAAUGAUCAGGAAUUGGAGUUAACAGCUUUUCUGUGGGGCAGUUCGACAUGAAGAAAAUACCUGUUCAAGGACUUUGAAAUAAAGAUGAAAAAGAGGCCACACGUCCUUACAUACCUGAUAUUUCUUUUUUUCUUUCUUUCUUUCUUUCUUUCUUUCUUUCUUUCUUUCUUUCUUUCUUUCUUUCUUUCUUUCUUUCUUUCUUUCCUUCCUUCCUUCCUUCCUUCCUUCUUUCCUUCCUUCCUUCUUUCUUUCUUUCCUUCUUUUUUUCUUUCCUUUCUUUCUCUCUCUCUCUCUCUCUCUUUCUUUCUUUCUUUCUUUCUUUUUUUUUUUUGAGACAGUUUUACUCUGUUGCCCAGGCUGGAGUGCAGUGGCUCAAUCUCAACUCACUGCAACCUCUGCUUCCUGGGUUCAAGUGAUUCCCCUGCCUCAGCCUCCUGAGUAGCUGGGAUUACAGGCGCGUGCCACCACACCCGGCUAAUUUUUGUAUUUUUAGUGGAGAUAGGGUUUCACCAUGUUGGCCAGGUUGGUCUCAAACUCCUGACCUUAAGUGAUCCACCCGCCUUGGCCUCCCAAAGUGCUGGGAUUACGGGCGUGAACCACCGCGCCCGGCCUGAGCCACCGCACCUGGCCGUUUUUUAUGUUAUGUGUAUCGUAUGCUGUGUUCUUACAAGUAAGCUAGAGGAAAGCAAAUGCUAUUAAGCAAAUCUUAAGGAAGAGAAGACACGUUUACAGUUCUUAAAAUGGGAGUGGAUCCUCAUAAAGGUCUUCAUUCUGGCCGUCUGCCGGUGGAGCAGGCUGAGGAGGGGAAGAGGAGGAGAGGCUGGCUGUGCUGUCUUGGUGGAAGAAAACCCGUGUAUCAGUGGACCUGCCCAGCUCACACCUGUGCUGUUCACAGGCCAACUGCACUUGAGUUGUUUCUCCUGAGAACAA
RNAcentral lists this long non-coding RNA (3493 nucleotides) under Homo sapiens (human). RNAcentral's name for it is "HSALNT0344490". The record is from RNAcentral. Lineage: Eukaryota; Metazoa; Chordata; Mammalia; Primates; Hominidae.